RNAcentral lists this transfer RNA (73 nucleotides) under Capra hircus (goat). It matches the Rfam family "tRNA". From Rfam's summary of the family: Transfer RNA (tRNA) molecules are approximately 80 nucleotides in length. Their secondary structure includes four short double-helical elements and three loops (D, anti-codon, and T loops). RNAcentral also lists the same sequence under 1 other name. The record is from Rfam by way of RNAcentral. Lineage: Eukaryota; Metazoa; Chordata; Mammalia; Artiodactyla; Bovidae.
UCCCUGGUGGUCCUGUGGUUGAGACUCUGUGCUUCCACUUCAGGGGGCCUGGGUUCGAUCCCUGGUCAGGGAA